GACAGAGGGUGCAAACGUUGUUCGGAAUUACUGGGCGUAAAGCGUGUGUAGGUGGCUGCGAAAGUCGGAUGUGAAAGCCCUGGGCUCAACUCAGGAAGUGCACCCGAUACUGCGUAGCUAGAGUACCGGAGAGGUUGGUAGAAUUCUCGGUGUAGAGGUGAAAUUCGUAGAUAUCGAGAGGAAUACCUGUGGCGAAGGCGGCCAACUGGACGAGUACUGACACUGAGACACGAAAGCGUGGGGAGCAAACAGG
This 253-nucleotide ribosomal RNA is filed under the name uncultured bacterium. RNAcentral's name for it is "partial 16S ribosomal RNA". It matches the Rfam family "Bacterial small subunit ribosomal RNA", at positions 524 to 776 of the family's 1533-position model. The record is from RNAcentral. RNAcentral also lists the same sequence under 1 other name.